RNAcentral lists this transfer RNA (34 nucleotides) under Branchiostoma lanceolatum (amphioxus). RNAcentral describes it as "partial tRNA-Leu". The record is from RNAcentral. Lineage: Eukaryota; Metazoa; Chordata; Leptocardii; Amphioxiformes; Branchiostomatidae.
UCUGUCAUAGGUGCAAUUCCUAUUUUUAGUGGUG